Molecule: unclassified non-coding RNA, 299 nt
Filed under: uncultured Myxomphalia
Lineage: Eukaryota; Fungi; Basidiomycota; Agaricomycetes; Agaricales; Fayodiaceae
Description: partial contains 5.8S ribosomal RNA, internal transcribed spacer 2, and large subunit ribosomal RNA
Rfam family: 5.8S ribosomal RNA (bases 1-52)
Source: RNAcentral
AACGCACCUUGCGCUCCUUGGUAUUCCGAGGAGCAUGCCUGUUUGAGUGUCAUUAAAUUCUCAACCUCACCAUCUUUUACCAGUUGGUGUGGGCUUGGAUGUGGGGGUUGCUGGCUUAUAAAAGUCAGCUCUCCUUAAAUGCAUUAGCGGAACCUUUGUGGACCGUCAUUGGUGUGAUAAUUAUCUAUGCCAUUGUCAUGAAGCAGUUUAAUAUAGGGUUCAGCUUCUAACUGUCUAUUGAAUUGGACAACAUAGAACAUUUUGACCUCAAAUCAGGUAGGACUACCCGCUGAACUUAA